GACUAUGACGUCACGCGUCCCCACGUCUAUAUUCAGCAAUGGGCGGGGCUCCAAGUGUCCACGCUCUGAGGAGAGUUGGCGACAGGUCCUAGGCCGUGAGUUAAGGGGAUAUAAUCAGCUAUCUGGGCCUGUGUGGUGGCACACUCCUGUAAUUCCAGCACAUGGGAGGCUGAGGGAGCAAGUUCAAGCACUGGGGAUUUGGACCCAGGACUUUGUCCUGUGUGACAGCCAAGCACUCUACUACUGAGCUACACUCCCUGCCCAACCUCAAGUACUUCGUUAAUGUCUUCAGAAGACUCACCCAGUUCAGCCCCUUACCACCUGCAGGGGUAUGUGCAGAGGGAAGGCUGAUGCAUUCAGCCCAGUCUGCUAAGUGGCCGCACUCACAGUGAAAAGAUUGGCCUGCUUUGGAAUAUCAAAUACCUCCUCUUUGGAGGGGAAGGAAGAUGAAAGCAAUGACAUCCACACUCCCCCAGAGCAUCUCCCCAGCACAGCCUGAGCUCUUGCAAUGGGGUUUUGUCGGGAGAGCUCAUCACCUGGAGUGGUCAGGGAGGGCUCAGUCACUGUGCGGUCACUGGGGGAGAAGACCUCGUGGCUUCAGCCUAGCCUGCUGAGGAAGCUCUUGGAGUCAGGGUGUCAGAGGGCUGAGACCCCACAGGAAGUGCAGAGCCGGAUGGGAAGGAGAGGUGACCACAUCCUGCAUUUCUCUGUGGUUCCCCCAGGAACCAGUAACACAGCCUGGAGGCUCAGCAGAGGAAAACCAAGAAGCCAAAUGAAAACCACAAUGAAAUACUCCUUCAUAUCCGCCAGCAUUGCUAUCAUGAAAAGAAAGAUAAUAACAAGUGCUGGUGAAGAUGUGGGGAAAUAGGAGCCCUCAGGCACUGUUGGUGGAUAGCUGCUUUGCACAGUAAUCUAGCAUUCCCAAAAGGUUAAAUAGAGACUUGUCUUUCAACACAGCAAUUCCACUUUUAGGUGCAUACCCAAAAGAAAUGGAAAUUUUGGUCCACAUGAAAACCUGUCCCUUAAUGUUUGGAGCAGCAUUAGGCAUAAUGACCAAAAAAUGAAAAGUACCCAACAGUUCUGCUGUUAAGAUUGAGAAGUUUUUG
This 1106-nucleotide long non-coding RNA is filed under the name Heterocephalus glaber (naked mole-rat). Its description in RNAcentral is "lncRNA (ENSHGLG00100044200.1)". Lineage: Eukaryota; Metazoa; Chordata; Mammalia; Rodentia; Bathyergidae. The record is from RNAcentral.